Molecule: ribosomal RNA, 493 nt
Filed under: uncultured Gammaproteobacteria bacterium
Lineage: Bacteria; Pseudomonadati; Pseudomonadota; Gammaproteobacteria
Description: bacterial SSU rRNA
Rfam family: Bacterial small subunit ribosomal RNA
Source: RNAcentral
AGCUUGCUCCUGGGUGACGAGCGGCGGACGGGUGAGUAAUGUCUGGGGAUCUGCCUGAUGGAGGGGGAUAACUACUGGAAACGGUAGCUAAUACCGCAUAACGUCGCAAGACCAAAGAGGGGGACCUUCGGGCCUCUUGCCAUCAGAUGAACCCAGAUGGGAUUAGCUAGUAGGUGGGGUAAUGGCUCACCUAGGCGACGAUCCCUAGCUGGUCUGAGAGGAUGACCAGCCACACUGGAACUGAGACACGGUCCAGACUCCUACGGGAGGCAGCAGUGGGGAAUAUUGCACAAUGGGCGCAAGCCUGAUGCAGCCAUGCCGCGUGUAUGAAGAAGCCUUCGGGUUGUAAAGUACUUUCAGCGAGGAGGAAGGCAUUAAGGUUAAUAACCUUAGUGAUUGACGUUACUCGCAGAAGAAGCACCCGCUAACUCCCUGCCAGCAGCCGCGGUAAUACCNGAAGGGGCAAGCGUUUAUCGGAAUUACUGGGCGUAAA